RNAcentral lists this ribosomal RNA (415 nucleotides) under uncultured bacterium. RNAcentral's name for it is "bacterial SSU rRNA". It matches the Rfam family "Bacterial small subunit ribosomal RNA", at positions 358 to 770 of the family's 1533-position model. The record is from RNAcentral.
GGAAUAUUGGUCAAUAGGCGGAAGCCUGAACCAGCAAUGCCGCGUGCAGGAUGACUGACCUAUGGGUUGUAAACUGCUUUUGUCCAGGAAUAAACCUCUUUACGAGUAGAGAGCUGCAUGUACUGGAAGAAUAAGGAGCGGCUAACCCCGUGCCAGCAGCCGCGGUAAUACGGAGGAUCCGAGCGUUAUCCGGAUUUAUUGGGUUUAAAGGGUGCGUAGGCGGCCUAUUAAGUCAGGGGUGAAAUACGGUGGCACAACCAUCGCAGUGCCUUUGAUACUGAUGGGCUUGAAUCCAUUUGAAGUGGGCGGAAUAAGACAAGUAGCGGUGAAAUGCAUAGAUAUGUCUUAGAACUCCGAUUGCGAAGGCAGCUCACUAAGCUGGUAUUGACGCUGAUGCACGAAAGCGUGGGGAUCG